CCUACGGGAGGCAGCAGUGGGGAAUAUUGCACAAUGGGGGAAACCCUGAUGCAGCGACGCCGCGUGAGUGAAGAAGUAAUUCGUUACGUAAAGCUCUAUCAGCAGGGAAGAAAUACUGACCUUACGGUCAGCAGACGGUACCUGAGUAAGAAGACCCGGCUAACUACGUGCCAGCAGCCGCGGUAAUACGUAGGGGGCCAGCGGUAUCCGGGUUUACUGGGUGUAAAGGGAGCGUAGACGGUGCGCCAAGUCUGGAGUGAAAUGCCGCAGCUUAACUGCGGAACUGCUUUGGAAACUGGCGAACUAGAGUGCGGGAGGGGUAAGCGGAAUUCCUAGUGUAGCGGUGAAAUGCGUAGAUAUUAGGAGGAACCCCGGUGGCGAAGGCGGCUUACUGGACCGUAACUGACGUUGAGGCUCGAAAGCGUGGGGAGCAAACAGGAUUAGAUACCCCUGUAGUC
This 458-nucleotide ribosomal RNA is filed under the name uncultured bacterium. RNAcentral's name for it is "partial 16S ribosomal RNA". It matches the Rfam family "Bacterial small subunit ribosomal RNA", at positions 338 to 795 of the family's 1533-position model. The record is from RNAcentral.